This 432-nucleotide ribosomal RNA is filed under the name uncultured bacterium. RNAcentral describes it as "partial 16S ribosomal RNA". It matches the Rfam family "Bacterial small subunit ribosomal RNA", at positions 29 to 507 of the family's 1533-position model. The record is from RNAcentral.
AACGAACGCUGGCGGCAUGCCUAACACAUGCAAGUCGAACGAGACCUUCGGGUCUAGUGGCGCACGGGUGCGUGACGCGUGGGAACCUGCCCUUAGGUUCGGAAUAACUCCCCGAAAGGGGUGCUAAUACCGGAUAAUGUCUUCGGACCAAAGAUUUAUCGCCCUUGGAUGGGCCCGCGUUGGAUUAGCUAGUUGGUAGGGUAAAAGCCUACCAAGGCGACGAUCAUAGCUGGUCUGAGAGGAUGAUCAGCCACACUGGGACUGAGACACGGCCCAGACUCCUACGGGAGGCAGCAGUGGGGAAUAUUGGACAAUGGGCGAAAGCCUGAUCCAGCAAUGCCGCGUGAGUGAUGAAGGCCUUAGGGUUGUAAAGCUCUUUUACCCGGGAUGAUAAUGACAGUACCGGGAGAAUAAGCUCCGGCUAACUCCGUG